RNAcentral lists this non-coding RNA (30 nucleotides) under Mus musculus (house mouse). The record is from RNAcentral. Lineage: Eukaryota; Metazoa; Chordata; Mammalia; Rodentia; Muridae.
UGUACUUACUGAGCCUUAUCAGGGUUCUAA